Non-coding RNA from Labrus bergylta (ballan wrasse), 588 nucleotides. The record is from RefSeq and is a predicted model, not a curated record. Lineage: Eukaryota; Metazoa; Chordata; Actinopteri; Labriformes; Labridae.
CCUCUUUUGUGUUUUCCUGCAGGAAGCAGCCAUGGCCAAACUCGCCGCGUCAGAAGCCGCCACAUUCUGCUCUCAUCAGGCGAUCCAGGUUCUGGGUGGGAUGGGCUACGUGUCAGACAUGCCCGCUGAGAGGCACUACCGCGACGCUCGCAUCACAGAGAUCUACGAGGGCACGAGUGAGAUCCAGAGGCUGGUGAUCGCCGGCCAGAUCCUGAAGGAAUACCAAGCAUAGACGCCGCACGCCACAAUAUGGACGAGUAAUAAUCACGCACACUGGGACAUCACCUCAUUCAUUCAGAUUUCAAAGGAGCCGCGUUGAUCGGGUGAGACCUCAUUUGAGUUUCACGUGAUUGUGCGUGCCCGUUACCUCCGCCGUCUCGUGUGUCGUACUACAGGAGACGCCACUUACUGUUUGGAAAAGAGCGCCGGUGACUUCAACAGCGCCUUCCUGAAAAGUUGAGUGAUUUUCAAUUUGACGGAUGGAGCGGAUGGAGCGCUCAGAAAAAAGACGCUGGCGUUUGAUUUUUCUCAAGGCGGCUGCUUUCUCCUGAGAACGAUCUCAGACGCUGGCGCUCAGAAAAAAAAAAA